UACGAAGGGUGCAAGCGUUACUCGGAAUUACUGGGCGUAAAGCGUGCGUAGGUGGUUUGUUAAGUCUGAUGUGAAAGCCCUGGGCUCAACCUGGGAAUUGCAUUGGAUACUGGCAGGCUAGAGUGCGGUAGAGGAAGGUGGAAUUCCACGUGUAGCGGUGAAAUGCGUAGAGAUGUGGAGGAACACCGAUGGCGAAGGCAGCCUUCUGGGCCAACACUGACGCUCAUGCACGAAAGCGUGGGGAGCAAACAGG
Molecule: ribosomal RNA, 253 nt
Filed under: uncultured bacterium
Lineage: Bacteria
Description: partial 16S ribosomal RNA
Rfam family: Bacterial small subunit ribosomal RNA
Source: RNAcentral